This 465-nucleotide long non-coding RNA is filed under the name Nicotiana benthamiana. RNAcentral describes it as "long non-coding RNA (NBEN_LNC017196)". Lineage: Eukaryota; Viridiplantae; Streptophyta; Magnoliopsida; Solanales; Solanaceae. The record is from RNAcentral.
GAAAUCGUAUUUUGUUCCUCGACUUCCAUAUUAAAGCUACGACAUGUACAAAAGCAGCAGCAAUGAUAGCAUUUCACCAUGCACGACUACGAGUUUUACUGCAUAUCCAUUCCAGUUCACUGUCCCAGUCAAGGAUCUGUCUCGAACUGCCCAGCCAACAACAAAUUCUAGACCAUAAACUCUUAGUAACGCAACAUUUGAAAUAUAGGUGCUGGAAGGUUUCCACCUGUUGAUUGCAAAACACACACAGCGAAGGAAUUUGAAUACCAUAGUUGGCUAAUCUAUCCACAGUAGGUAACCUUCUUUGGGCAGCCAGCCAAGCAAUAAAUUUAUGUCGAGGCAGGACAUUUGUAACUAAAAGUAAAUUCCUCCAGUUGACUCUAUCAAACCUAGGGAGCAUACCAAUAUACAUUUUCUGGAUUUGAAAUUUGUCGAGGCAACAUACAGCCUUGAACCUGUCAGCAA